Molecule: long non-coding RNA, 1000 nt
Organism: Humulus lupulus (European hop)
Lineage: Eukaryota; Viridiplantae; Streptophyta; Magnoliopsida; Rosales; Cannabaceae
Exons: 3
Source: RefSeq, a predicted model, not a curated record
GGGCAUUUUGUGUUAAAUGCCUAAUUUUGCCGAAAUGGGGAAUUUUAUUCCAUGAAUGGACCUUAGGUUAAAUUUUAUUAUGUGAUUAAUUAAAUUAAAUGUGAGAGACAUUUAAUUUAAUUAAUUAAUGUUAAGUUUGGUGAUUAAAACUUAAUAAGAGUGAAAAAAGGUGUCAAAAGUCAAUUUGGACUUUUCUUCUUAUAAACCUUUAUUAACCUUUAUAAAAAAUAAAAAAAAUAAUAAUAAAAAAAAAAUUAAUGGUCACAUAUAUGGAAAAGGGUGGCUGGCCAUGUGCUAUUUUAGAGUGGUGUGAACCCAAUUUUAUAAAAUUCAAAUCCCAUUUAAUUAAGAAGUCAAGUGGGCAAGUGGGUAGAAAAUCACUCAAGUGUUUUGUGAUAUUUUGAAGAGUUGGGUGAGCCAUUCUAACCCCCAAAUCCGACCACUCUCCCUCCCUCAUUCACUCUCAUCUGAUUUUUGAAGACUCUCUCAAGUGUUCUCUCCAUUUUCAACCCCAAGAACACCAAAGAAACUUGGAAGCUAAGUCUUGGUCUAGGAAGGGUUUUCCCUAAGGUAAAGUUUCAUUAAUCUAGACUUUUGUCAAGUUUUAAUCAUAGAGUUUCAAAUAGCUAAUUACCUAUGUUGUUGGAGGAAGUUGGUUAGGGUUUUUGAAAGGUUUUGAAGGAGUCAAAGCUUAUAGGAAGGUCCAAACCUUAAGCAAGAACACCAAAGAGUAUUGGCUAAGCGUAACUGGACUGAACGUUGGAGGGUGAAAACCUGCUGAGCGCUAAGGACUCCAAGUAAGAGCAAGGGCAAGGCAGAGCAGUAAGCGCUGGAGUCUUCCUUGCAAAUGUACAUGUGGACCGACCUUUUGGGAAGCCUUUUUAUUUUUGGAAAUGUUGUGUAAUUUUCCUAAACUAGACUCACUCUAAUCUUUAUAAAACAUGUUUGUAACUAAAUGUUAAGUAUGGCCAUACGACUUUUUAAAAAGUUUUUUUUUCUA